Molecule: ribosomal RNA, 246 nt
Filed under: Triticum aestivum (bread wheat)
Lineage: Eukaryota; Viridiplantae; Streptophyta; Magnoliopsida; Poales; Poaceae
Description: partial small subunit ribosomal RNA
Source: RNAcentral
AUGGUGCAGAUACUAUCUAUCAUCCACAGCAAAAAGGGGACUCUGAGUAGCAUGCCGUACAUACCAGCUGACGUCACAAACGUACGGGCAAGGUACCGUAGAGAGAGCAAGUUGGCAGACAUAGAGGCCACAAUUGCCUACUUCGAUGAGAAAGCCAAAGAAGAUGCAGAUUUCUUCUACAGGAUAAGGUUGGACGAUGAGGACCGUGUCAGGAACAUGUAUUGGGUGGAUGGUGCUGCAAGGAGA